GUACCUCUCCUUGCUCCUGCCAUGUGAAGAAGGGAGGUUUGCUUCCCCUUCUGCCAUGAUUGUAAGUUUCUUGAGGCCUCUUCAGCCAUGCUGAACUAAUCUCCACAGGAUCUACCCAGGGAGGCCACUCAAAUGUCUGAUGCAUGAUUGAAUGAAUGCAUGCACCAAUGCUUCCUCCAGUCAGUAGCCCCAAGAUUGUUACUCCUUGCCCAAUGACAAGAUGUGUGUAAGCACUGUUGGAGAGGGUAUCUGGCCAGUAAACAACAAGCUCUACAACUUACAUGAAGCCAUGUUAAUACACGCUAGCUGUCACUGUGAAGCAUAUACUGUUGCCUUGUCUAUUCAGAGAUACUUCCACAGGGACACAGCUAUAGCCCAUUUACCUCCUCUCAAGUUUUAAUAAUAUUGUUAAGGAAUUCGUUAUAAGAAAUUGCUGAGAACACCUAGGGGAAUUGCUAAAUAAUUCCACAGUAGUUCUGCUUGAACAUCAUAAGUGCUAGGUUGCAUAAGACCACUGUUUCUUUUUUCAUUGUGUUUUGUAUUUUGUUUUGCAUAAAACAAUGUGAAUAUCACCACUGUUAUCCUUCUAAAUAAAAUAUUGAAAUAAAUGGGAUAUUCAAAGCCUUCACCUUGCUGGAUUAAAUUGCAAUAAGUUUAAAAUUUAAAAAGUGGUGUUUCAACUUAACACAUGGGAUAGGCUUCUCAAAACACUAGAGUAGAGGGGGGAAAUUGCAAAGUAAUUAUUUAUUCUUUGCUUUGUCUUUCAUGACAUGAAAUACUUUGCUGAAUUAUUCUACUUAGAAGGUUUAGGGUUGCUUUUCUGUGAUGGCAUAUGUAUUUUUUUUGUUUGUUUUUGUUGUAAUGCAAGAUUAUUUCUUUUCAAAGGGUGGUGUCACAAGAGGCCUGCUGUAAAAAUCCAGAGAUGCUGCCAGUAAUUAGGCAGCUGGGUGGCCCAGAAAUUGUCUUCAUUACACUGUUGUUUCUUUGCCAGUUCUCUCUUUUCUCUCUUCUGGGAAAGGAAGAAAAAAAAAGCUCUGUUUUUCUUUACAUAGUUCUUAUGGCAGAAUGAAUAAGCCUUGUUUUUGGUUUUUUGUUUCUUUCACUUGCCAGAAUCUUCUGAUACAACAUCAACUUCCACAUUUAUGAUUUAUAGCCCUUGCUUUGAUUUACAAUCGAUUGUCAAAACAUGUUUAAUGAAUGAUCAGGGCUACAGUAUUUAAUGUGUUAAGGGUAUUCUAUGCACAAAUUCAUGGGCUUCACAUGCACAUAUGCUGUCCACAUGGAUUAAUAUUGUGACUGUUUUUAAAACCAAAACAGUUCUUCAAUGUGCAUCAUUCUGAUAACCAAGAUAAUACAUGUCCAGGGCUUAUAAUAAAUGACUGUCAGCCUAAGGGACACAGAAAAGGUUGUUCUGUCUCUCUUUCCUUCUCUUCAUCUCUGACAGGUUCUUUUCUCAGUCCAACAUGUGGUUGUGAGAAAUGAACUACAAAUGUGUCUGUGGAUGUACCAUGCACACGUGUGUGUCGUGUGUGGUUUGAAUUCUCUUAUUUGGGCAUGUGAGGGAAUUUGUAGCUUAUGCUAUGUAGGAUUAUAGUUAGUAGGUGUUUCAUAACUGUUGGAUGAACUAAAUAAUAAGCUUUUUGCAUUUCUUUUUCAACAUUUUUUUGAAGCUAGAUGUAGUGGGCUGAACGGUGGUCCCCCAAAAGAUUUGUCAACAUCCUAACCCCAAGAACCUGUGAUUAUUACCUUAUUAUAAUAAAAGAUGGGAUUAAGUUAAAGAUCUUGAUUGGAUAAAUUUAUUCUGCAUUAGCCUGGAGGCCCUCAAUGCACCAUACACUCUAAAACAGAGGCAGAAGGAAUUUUGAGACAAACACAGAGAGACGGAAGCAAUGUGACCACAGAGGCAGAGAUUGGAGAGAUGCAGCGACAAACCUAGGAAGGCCAGCGAUGCCAGGUGGCCAUCAGAAACUGGAAGAGGAAAGGAACCAGUUCUCCUCCAGAGCCUCUGGGAAGAGGGCAGCCCUGCUGACACUUUGAUUUCUGACUUCUGGCUCCCAGAACUGUGAAGGAAUAUAUUUUUGUUCUUUUAAGCCACCCAGACUGUGGGAAUUUGUUACAGUAGCCACAGGACAUUAAUACGCUGGUUAAUCUCAUGAAUCCGGCAGGCAAGGCCUGGGUGUGCAGGAGCCUAGAAGCCCAGACCUGUGGGUACGGUGAGGACAGCUCCGCCAGAAAAGCAGACUUGCAGAGAGCAGUAAUGCAGAGACUCGGGGAGAGCAUCCUGGGCUCAGAGGUUGUUCCAUGCCUAGGAUAUACAGCAAACAAAGUUUGAUCCAGGCAAGCAUUGAGUUUUUUUAGGUUGACCAAAAUAGUGGGUAGGGAACUGCAGCAGUAAUACAGAUGGAAGAAAAAACUUAAAGUCAAAUGAGCAUCAGUAUUAGUUAUCAUUAGUUAAUUAGAAAUACUAACAGGAGAAAGCAUUCAUUGAGAACCCACUGUUUGCCAGGCUUUGAACUACCAUAGACCUAUCAUGUAGGUUUCAUUGAUCUCUUUUCACACUUUAUAGUAAGUGCAAAACUAGGAUUCAAAUUCAAGUAGAUCUGACUCCUACUCUAGGUUUUUCACUACUGUGCUGCAUAUUCUCACUCCUCUGUACUACCCCAGUCAGGACUGUACUAUUAAUAAUACACAGCAGACUGCAGGCCCAGUGGGCAGCAUGUUGAUAGGAACUGGACAGUGUCAAGAUUCUGUCUAGUUGUGGAUGAAAUGCCAGACCUAUCAAAGAGAGAGAACAAUACCAUGGAGGAGAAAUGAGUGUGGGGCUUCCAGUAAACUACAUUCAAAUUCACGCUUGGCACUGGUGGGCUGCCUGAUCUCUAGCCCACUUCCUUAUCUUUGUAAUGUGAGCAAUAAUAUCUAUGCCACAGAAUCAAUCCAAGAGAGGAUAUAUGCAAGUCAAAAGCCUGGUUCAAUGUCUAACAAGAAAAAUGAUUUCCUGUCUCAUGGUAGGGUUUGAAGGAAAUUGCACAAAACCGUAACAGGCAUUUUUAUUGGCUAGUAUAAAUUACAGUGAGACAGCCUUAAGUCUUAUGCUCUAUUUUUGAAGUAAACAUUGAAUUUAAUUAAAACUAUAUAAAAUUAAAGGAGGCUUGGUGAAAUGGUCACUUGAUUAGAAAUCUGAUCUCCGACAUCUCUAGGUUUCCUGUCUAUGCAAUUAACUCCAAUAGAUUUGAGAAGCACUUGGAUUUCAUCCAAAGAAAGGGAAGUUAUUUAUUACAAAUAUAAAUAAAUAUUCCAGAGCUGACCUGUAUUCUGACAAUCAACAUAUAGUAGGCUACAUUUGAUGUAAUAUUGAUUUGCCUUCCUUGUCAAACUUUUGGGGUAUAAGAUUUGGAAUCAACUUGUUGAGGUGCAUCAGUCUUUCAGGCAGAGCUUCUUACAAGUACACAGUACUCAUAUUCCAAUGGCAUUAUUUGGUAACUUAAAAAAUAUUAAAUAUAAAAAUUUUGUGCCCUUGAAUGUAUUUUAAUUGAAAAUUACAGAGUUGAUCUGAAGUAUAGCCUCUUUGGGAUUGAAGAAGAAAGAGUUUAGUAUUCUUUUCUUAUUUUUCAUAAAAGGAAGUAACAGGCAAUAAUGAAACAUGUACGUAUAAUGGAGUAAAAAUUAAUGAAUAGAUACUUUUUCUAUUCAUUAGUGUGAAUAGAUUAUGAAUUCAAGUAUGAAUACAUACUUCAAAUAGAAUGAUUUAAUGGUUGACUCAAAAAUAAAGACCUUAUAAAAUUCUUCA
Long non-coding RNA from Symphalangus syndactylus (siamang), 3787 nucleotides. RefSeq lists it as uncharacterized. Lineage: Eukaryota; Metazoa; Chordata; Mammalia; Primates; Hylobatidae. The record is from RefSeq and is a predicted model, not a curated record.